GAUGAACGCUGGCGGCGUGCCUAAUACAUGCAAGUCGAGCGAACGGACGAGAAGCUUGCUUUUCUGAUGUUAGCGGCGGACGGGUGAGUAACACGUGGAUAACCUACCUAUAAGACUGGGAUAACUUCGGGAAACCGGAGCUAAUACCGGAUAAUAUUUUGAACCGCAUGGUUCAAAAGUGAAAGACGGUCUUGCUGUCACUUAUAGAUGGAUCCGCGCUGCAUUAGCUAGUUGGUAAGGUAACGGCUUACCAAGGCAACGAUGCAUAGCCGGCCUGAGAGGGUGAUCGGCCACACUGGAACUGAGACACGGUCCAGACUCCUACGGGAGGCAGCAGUAGGGAAUCUUCCGCAAUGGGCGAAAGCCUGACGGAGCAACGCCGCGUGAGUGAUGAAGGUCUUCGGAUCGUAAAACUCUGUUAUUAGGGAAGAACAUAUGUGUAAGUAACUGUGCACAUCUUGACGGUACCUAAUCAGAAAGCCACGGCUAACUACGUGCCAGCAGCCGCGGUAAUACGUAGGUGGCAAGCGUUAUCCGGAAUUAUUGGGCGUAAAGCGCGCGUAGGCGGUUUUUUAAGUCUGAUGUGAAAGCCCACGGCUCAACCGUGGAGGGUCAUUGGAAACUGGAAAACUUGAGUGCAGAAGAGGAAAGUGGAAUUCCAUGUGUAGCGGUGAAAUGCGCAGAGAUAUGGAGGAACACCAGUGGCGAAGGCGACUUUCUGGUCUGUAACUGACGCUGAUGUGCGAAAGCGUGGGGAUCAAACAGGAUUAGAUACCCUGGUAGUCCACGCCGUAAACGAUGAGUGCUAAGUGUUAGGGGGUUUCCGCCCCUUAGUGCUGCAGCUAACGCAUUAAGCACUCCGCCUGGGGAGUACGACCGCAAGGUUGAAACUCAAAGGAAUUGACGGGGACCCGCACAAGCGGUGGAGCAUGUGGUUUAAUUCGAAGCAACGCGAAGAACCUUACCAAAUCUUGACAUCCUUUGACAACUCUAGAGAUAGAGCCUUCCCCUUCGGGGGACAAAGUGACAGGUGGUGCAUGGUUGUCGUCAGCUCGUGUCGUGAGAUGUUGGGUUAAGUCCCGCAACGAGCGCAACCCUUAAGCUUAGUUGCCAUCAUUAAGUUGGGCACUCUAAGUUGACUGCCGGUGACAAACCGGAGGAAGGUGGGGAUGACGUCAAAUCAUCAUGCCCCUUAUGAUUUGGGCUACACACGUGCUACAAUGGACAAUACAAAGGGCAGCGAAACCGCGAGGUCAAGCAAAUCCCAUAAAGUUGUUCUCAGUUCGGAUUGUAGUCUGCAACUCGACUACAUGAAGCUGGAAUCGCUAGUAAUCGUAGAUCAGCAUGCUACGGUGAAUACGUUCCCGGGUCU
This 1372-nucleotide ribosomal RNA is filed under the name uncultured bacterium. RNAcentral describes it as "bacterial SSU rRNA". It matches the Rfam family "Bacterial small subunit ribosomal RNA", at positions 28 to 1381 of the family's 1533-position model. The record is from RNAcentral.